RNAcentral lists this ribosomal RNA (468 nucleotides) under uncultured bacterium. Its description in RNAcentral is "partial 16S ribosomal RNA". It matches the Rfam family "Bacterial small subunit ribosomal RNA", at positions 28 to 507 of the family's 1533-position model. The record is from RNAcentral.
GACGAACGCUGGCGGCGUGCUUAACACAUGCAAGUCGAACGGUGAAGCUCCAGCUUGUUGGUGUGGAUCAGUGGCGAACGGGUGAGUAACACGUGAGCAACCUGCCCCUGACUCUGGAAUAAGCGCUGGAAACGGCGCCUAAUACUGGAUACGAGACGGGCCCGCAUGGGCACUUUCUGGAAAGUUGUUCGGUUGGGGAUGGUCUCGCGGCCUAUCAGCUUGCUGGUGGGGUAAUGGCUCACCAAGGCGGCGACGGGUAGCCGGCCUGAGAGGGCGACCGGCCACACUGGGACUGAGACACGGCCCAGACUCCUACGGGAGGCAGCAGUGGGGAAUAUUGCACAAUGGGCGAAAGCCUGAUGCAGCGACGCCGCGUGAGGGAUGACGGCCUUCGGGUUGUAAACCUCUUUCGGCAGGGAAGAAGCGAAAGUGACGGUACCUGCAGAAGAAGCACCGGCUAACUACGUG